GAUGAACGCUGGCGGCGUGCUUAACACAUGCAAGUCGAACGGAAAGGCCCAAGCUUGCUUGGGUACUCGAGUGGCGAACGGGUGAGUAACACGUGGGUGAUCUGCCCUGCACUUCGGGAUAAGACUGGGGAACUGGGUCUAAUACCGGAUAGGACGAUGGUUUGGAUGCCAUUGUGGAAAGUUUUUUCGGUGUGGGAUGAGCUCGCGGCCUAUCCGCUUGUUGGUGGGGUAAUGGCCUACCAAGGCGUCGACGGGGAGCCGGCCUGCUAGGGUGUACGGCCACACUGGGACUCUGAGACAGCCCAGACUCGUAAGGGAUGCAGCAGUGGGGAAUAUUGCACAAUGCGCGCAAGCCUGAGGCAGCGACGCCGCGUGGGCGAUGACGGCCUUCGUGUUGUAAACUCCUAUCGCUAGGGACGAAGCGUUUUUGUGACGGUACCUGGAGAAGAAGCACCGGCUAACUACGUG
This 468-nucleotide ribosomal RNA is filed under the name uncultured bacterium. RNAcentral describes it as "partial 16S ribosomal RNA". It matches the Rfam family "Bacterial small subunit ribosomal RNA", at positions 28 to 507 of the family's 1533-position model. The record is from RNAcentral.